This 2581-nucleotide long non-coding RNA is filed under the name Homo sapiens (human). RNAcentral's name for it is "HSALNT0208952". The record is from RNAcentral. Lineage: Eukaryota; Metazoa; Chordata; Mammalia; Primates; Hominidae.
AUUCUCCUGCUUCAGCCUCCCGAGUAGCUGGGACUAUAGGCCCGGCCACCACAACCAGCUAAUUUUUUUUUUUUUUUUUUUUUUUUUUUUAGUAGAGACGGGGUUUCACCAUGUUAGUCAGGAUGGUCUCUAUCUCCUGACCUCGCGAUCCGCCCGCUUCGGCCUCCCAAAGUGCUGGGAUUACAGGUGUGAGCCACUGUGCCCGGCUGAAAGCCUGAUAUAUCUUUCUACCAUAGCAAGAACUAGCAGCACCUUACCCAGUAUGAGACCGACCCAGGUCUGCCUUAAUAUAUAUACCGUAAUAUAUACCUAACAGUUUUUUUUUUUUUUUUGAGAGGGAGUCUCGCUCUGUCGCCCAGGCUGGAGUGCAGUAUCGCGAUAUCGGUUCGCUGCAAGCUCCGCCUCCCGGGGUCACGUCAUUCUCCUGCCUCAGCUUCCGGAGCAGCUGGGACUGCUGGCGCCCGCCACUACGCUCGGCUAAUUUUUUUGUGUUUUUAGUAGAGACGGGCUUUCACCGUGUUGGCCUAGCGGUUCUCCAACUCCUGACCUCAUGAUCCCCCCGCCUCAGCCUCCCAAAGUGCUGGGAUUACAAGCGUGAGCCACCGCGACCCGCCAACACUCUUGACAACAGUGCUGUGCUAAGAACUUGGGGGACUUCAAAAAGUUCACCAGUUCCUGUGUCCAUGGGUGAAAAGAUUUUCUACAUCUUUCCUUGACUAGAAACAGAAGUCCUGAAACAAGAAUAUAACGUCAGGAGGCCAGAGGCUUUGUCCUGCCUAAUGUGUUAUUUCCACACUGAAUAAAAGCACCUGAGUCCUGAAUUCUCCAAACACCACCUCACACAGUUUUGGAAUCUCUUUGUCUUCAUUUCCCAGAAUUUGGAAGAGUUCAUCUAGUAUCUCUGCAUUUUAAAAAGGUUGUACAUCUAGCAAUACCUAACAAAAUAGGAAAUCAACUUGGGCUACCUUAAUGAGCAGCCAGGAUGCCAUCAUCUCCGACCUGAAUGACAAUAACCUCCAAACCAGCCUUUGUAUACUCCUUCCUGCUGCUCUGCAGUCCACUUCCACAGACCAGCCAACUGAAUCUCCUUAUAGAUUCAUAAUGGCCAUCAGCACAAAGAUGUUUUAUCUGCAGUCAACCAGUCAUGUUUCAUGAUGGCAUCAAAAUGUGUGCUGGAGUUUGCUGGGGGUCCACUCUAGAUCCUGUUUGCCUGAGUAUCACCAGCGGACACUGUAGAACAGCAAAGAUUGCUGCCUGCUCCUUCCUCUGGAAGCUUCGUCCCAGAGGGGCACCUGCAAGAUGCCAACCAGAGCUCUCCUGUAUGAGUUGUCUGUUGACCCCUGCUGGGAGGUGUCUCCCUUUCAGGAGGCUCAGGGGUCAGGGACCCACUUGAGGAGGCAGUCUGUCCCUUAGCAGAGCUUAAAUGUUGUGCUGGAAGAUCUGCUUCUGUCUUCAGAGCCAGCAGGCAGGAAUAUUUAAGUCCACUGAAGCUGUGCCCACAGCAGCCCCUUCCCCCAGGUCCCAGGGAGAUGAUGGGAGUUUUAUCUAUAACCUCCUAACUGGGACUGCUGCCUUUCUUUCAGAGAUGCCCUACCCAGAGAGGAGGAAUCUAGAGAGAGUCUGCCUAAUUUGGCUUUGCUGCGCUGCAAUGGGCUCCCUCCAGUCCAAAGUUCCUGGAGGCUUUGUUUACAUUGUGAGGGAAAAACCGCUUACUCAAGCCUCAGUAAUGGCAGACGCCCCUCCCCCCAUCAAGCUCCAAUGUCCCAGGUCAACUUCAGACUGUUGUGCUGGCAGCGAGAAUUUCAAGUCAGUGGAUCUUAGCUUGCUUGGCUCUGUGGGGUUGGAAUCUGCUUAACAAGACCACUUGGCUACCUGGCUUCAGCCCCCUUUCCAGGGGAGUGAGUGGUUCUGUCUCACUUGCGUUCCAGGCACCACACAAUUGGAAAUGUAGAAAUUACCUGCCUUCUGCGUUGGUCUCCCUGGGCGCUGCAGACUGGGGCUGUUCCUCUUCAGCCAUCUUGCAGGGAAUCACAAUAAAGAAUUUUUAAAAGGAAGAGAAAAGCAAUCAUCACUAUUUUGGUUUUGUUUUGUUUUAGGAGUAACUGACUACUGAACAGUACUGCAUGUUUCUGAGGUUCCUCUGUUAUUCCUGUAGUUCACUACCUCUGCAUCCUCCCCAGGACAAGAAAUUCAUUUUCCUUAUUGUACUGUGUUAUGCCAAGAAUAUUACUAUUGUUCGGUGAAUAUAAAAUAAUCAUUAUAGCAACAAUUUUUUUGGCGUCCUAAAUAAGGCUGAUCCAUGGCAACGGUACUAUGCAAAGAAAAGAAUAAAGUCAAAACACUUGUAAAACCUUUUACUUAUUGGUAUCAGACAUCUGUUAUUUUAUUAAUCCUCACAAUGUCUUUUAAAGGUUUUGUUAUUUGUAUCUACAAUCCGGGGAGAAGAAACUGAAGUACAGAGGGGCAAAACGAUUGUUACCUAGUUGAAUGACAAAUUAGAUGAGAAUCCAAUAUCCACAAGGUGUUAGGCCCUGGAAACAUUAAUCUCAUGUAUUAUUAGCUAUUCUCACAUACAUAUAAG